This 73-nucleotide transfer RNA is filed under the name Zootermopsis nevadensis. It matches the Rfam family "tRNA". Rfam says of the family: Transfer RNA (tRNA) molecules are approximately 80 nucleotides in length. Their secondary structure includes four short double-helical elements and three loops (D, anti-codon, and T loops). Lineage: Eukaryota; Metazoa; Arthropoda; Insecta; Blattodea; Termopsidae. The record is from Rfam by way of RNAcentral.
GCCACGGUGGUCUAUCGCUUAGAACGCUGGCCUUGUAAUCCUGGGGUCUCGGGUUCGAUUCCCGGCGGUGCCC